ACUUGUAGAAAAUUUCAACAAGAGAAACUAUUGCAUCUCUCUCUAAGAAGGACUGGAAUUUUACAACAGUAUAUUAGUCUCCUGAAAGUUUCAGCUUUUAACUAUCUAAAGCCUUGUAAUACAACUAUAACUUAAAAUAAGAAU
Molecule: long non-coding RNA, 144 nt
Organism: Hibiscus syriacus
Lineage: Eukaryota; Viridiplantae; Streptophyta; Magnoliopsida; Malvales; Malvaceae
Exons: 3
Source: RefSeq, a predicted model, not a curated record